This 447-nucleotide ribosomal RNA is filed under the name uncultured bacterium. Its description in RNAcentral is "bacterial SSU rRNA". It matches the Rfam family "Bacterial small subunit ribosomal RNA", at positions 355 to 825 of the family's 1533-position model. The record is from RNAcentral.
UCGGGAAUUUUGGGCAAUGGGCGAAAGCCUGACCCAGCAACGCCGCGUGAAGGAUGAAGUAUUUCGGUAUGUAAACUUCGAAAGAAUAGGAAGAAUAAAUGACGGUACUAUUUGUAAGGUCCGGCUAACUACGUGCCAGCAGCCGCGGUAAUACGUAGGGACCAAGCGUUGUUCGGAUUUACUGGGCGUAAAGGGCGCGUAGGCGGUUUGUCAAGUCAGUUGUGAAAUCUCCGAGCUUAACUCGGAACGGUCAACUGAUACUGUCAAACUAGAGUACAGAAGGGGCAAUCGGAAUUCUUGGUGUAGCGGUGAAAUGCGUAGAUAUCAAGAGGAACACCUGAGGCGAAGGCGGGUUGCUGGGCUGAUACUGACGCUGAAGCGCGAAAGCUAGGGUAGCAAACGGGAUUAGAUACCCCUGUAGUCCCUGAGCGGGCUGGCAAGGCGCAU